This 21-nucleotide microRNA is filed under the name Chlamydomonas reinhardtii. RNAcentral's name for it is "cre-miR1149.2". The record is from miRBase by way of RNAcentral. Lineage: Eukaryota; Viridiplantae; Chlorophyta; Chlorophyceae; Chlamydomonadales; Chlamydomonadaceae.
UGUUGUCUGACAUGGAGGGUC